UCUCCUUCUCUCCUUCUCUCCUUAAACUCUCGGAUGGAGUAUAUAUUGUUGGUGUGAUUUCCUUUGAGCAUUGCUGCCCUUUUAUAGCUGAAGAAAGGAGAAGAUGAGUAAGGGGUGGGCAAUAAAAAAACAAGGGACGGUGGAGUGGAUGAGUGGAGUGGAUGGAUAAUGAGUGGAGUGGGUGAGGAAUGUCUUUUCACUAACACUAUAUAAUAUUUAUU
This 221-nucleotide long non-coding RNA is filed under the name Panax ginseng (ginseng). Its description in RNAcentral is "long non-coding RNA (PGIN_LNC003575)". The record is from RNAcentral. Lineage: Eukaryota; Viridiplantae; Streptophyta; Magnoliopsida; Apiales; Araliaceae.